This 518-nucleotide ribosomal RNA is filed under the name uncultured bacterium. RNAcentral's name for it is "bacterial SSU rRNA". It matches the Rfam family "Bacterial small subunit ribosomal RNA", at positions 1 to 516 of the family's 1533-position model. The record is from RNAcentral.
UAGAGGUUGAUCAUUGCUUAGAUUUAACGCUGGCGGAAUGCUUUACACAUUCAAGUCGAACGGCAUCCCGGAGAGCCUUCUCUUUGGUGGCGAGUGGCGGACGGGUGAGUAAUAUAUCGGAACGUGUCCCAUAAUGGGGGAUUACGAGUGGAAAGAUUUGCUAAUACCGCAUACGCCCUACGGGGGAAAGCAGGGGAUUGUUAGGCCCUGCGUUUAAGGAGCCGCCGAUAUUUGAUUAGCUUGUUGGUGGGGUAAAGGUUCUCCCAGGGGACGAUCAGUAGCUGGUUUGAGAGAACGACCAGCCCCACUGGAACUGAGACCCGGUCCCGACUCCUACCGGAGGCAGCCGUCGGGAAUUUUGUUCAAUGGGGGCCACCCUUAUCCAGCCCUUUCCCGUGAGUGAAGAAGGCCUUCGGGUUGUAAAGCUCUUUCGCCAGGGAAGAAAACUUAUGAUAGAAUAAAUCAUGAGGUUGUCGGUAAAGGGAUAAGAAGCCCCGGCUUUCUUCGUGCCCGCAGCC